UCAGCCGGCCGGGCGGCCGCUCCCGACCAAUGCCGAAAGGCGGCGGGAGAGGAAAGUCCGGGCUCCACGGAGAAACGGUGCCGGAUAACGUCCGGCGGGGGAAACCCUAGGGACAGUGCCACAGAAAACAGACCGCCCCGCCUAUAGUGCGGCUCGACGGCGCGAAAAGGCGCCUCAAGACGAGCCGCAGUGUUGGCGGGGUAAGGGUGAAACGGUGGGGUAAGAGCCCACCGCGUCUCCGGUAACGGCGACGGCAGGGCAAACCCCACCGGGAGCAAAACCGAAUAGGGACGACGCGAUCGGCUUUGCGCGCAUGUGCGGGUGCGGUCAGCCUGUCUCCGGGCCAGUCGUCCGGGUUGGUUGCUCGAGGCGUCUCGCAAGAGCCGUCCCAGAGGAAUGGUCGCCCAGCGGCGCUUGGCGCUGCGGACAGAACCCGGCUUACAGGCCGGCUGACAUC
Molecule: RNase P RNA, 457 nt
Filed under: Fulvimarina manganoxydans
Lineage: Bacteria; Pseudomonadati; Pseudomonadota; Alphaproteobacteria; Hyphomicrobiales; Aurantimonadaceae
Description: Rhizobiales bacterium 8.047 Bacterial RNase P class A
Rfam family: Bacterial RNase P class A
About the family: Ribonuclease P (RNase P) is a ubiquitous endoribonuclease, found in archaea, bacteria and eukarya as well as chloroplasts and mitochondria. Its best characterised activity is the generation of mature 5'-ends of tRNAs by cleaving the 5'-leader elements of precursor-tRNAs.
Source: Rfam by way of RNAcentral